Molecule: ribosomal RNA, 253 nt
Filed under: uncultured bacterium
Lineage: Bacteria
Description: partial 16S ribosomal RNA
Rfam family: Bacterial small subunit ribosomal RNA
Source: RNAcentral
UACGUAGGUGGCAAGCGUUGUCCGGAAUUAUUGGGCGUAAAGCGCACGCAGGCGGCCUUCUAAGUCUGAUGUGAAAUCCCACGGCUUAACCGUGGAAGGUCAUUGGGAACUGGAAGGCUUGAGGAUAGAAGAGGAAAGUGGAAUUCCACGUGUAGCGGUGAAAUGCGUAGAGAUGUGGAGGAACACCAGUGGCGAAGGCGACUUUCUGGUCUAUUACUGACGCUGAGGUGCGAAAGCGUGGGGAGCAAACAGG